This 274-nucleotide ribosomal RNA is filed under the name uncultured bacterium. RNAcentral's name for it is "partial 16S ribosomal RNA". It matches the Rfam family "Bacterial small subunit ribosomal RNA", at positions 523 to 796 of the family's 1533-position model. The record is from RNAcentral.
AUACAGAGGGUGCAAGCGUUAAUCGGAAUUACUGGGCGUAAAGCGCACGUAGGUGGUUCAUUAAGUCAGAUGUGAAAGCCCCGGGCUCAACCUGGGAACUGCAUUUGAAACUGGUGAGCUAGAGUAUGGUAGAGGUAAGUGGAAUUCCAGGUGUAGCGGUGAAAUGCGUAGAUAUCUGGAGGAACAUCAGUGGCGAAGGCGACUUACUGGACCAAUACUGACACUGAGGUGCGAAAGCGUGGGGAGCAAACAGGAUUAGAAACCCCAGUAGUCC